RNAcentral lists this long non-coding RNA (272 nucleotides) under Brassica napus (rape). Its description in RNAcentral is "long non-coding RNA (BNAP_LNC024877)". Lineage: Eukaryota; Viridiplantae; Streptophyta; Magnoliopsida; Brassicales; Brassicaceae. The record is from RNAcentral.
GUGUAGAGGGUUGUUGAACCCUAGAUUGAGUUGAGUUUGAGUUUAAGUGGUUAGCUAGUCAUUAGCGGUUAUGAUUUUAUAUCGUUAAUUAUCUAGCUAUUAUUAUCUGCUGCGUAUUUCUGAUAUUGCUUAUCUAUUGAAUUGGAUUGAUUUAUUAUUCGGUGAACCUCUCGCUUUAGAUUGUUUGGGAUAGGAUAGCGAGAGGUUUUAUUUGUUAGUUGGGGAUCAUAAUUCACUGAGUAACAUUAGGUUACUCAUCCAACUCCGUUGUC